ACAAAAUGUUACAAAAGCGCACCGCUGUCACGUUCUGACCUUAGUUCCUUUGUCAUGUCUUUGUUUGGUCAGGGCGUGAGUUGGGACACCCUACCAGGGUCGACCACACCAGAGGGGGGACUGCAACAGCGAUCACCAACUGGACAUCUGCUGUCCAGCCAUGGAGCAGACUUCAUUUGCCUACCCGGGUUUCUGCGAACAUGCAGGUUAAUUUGCAACAUGCAGGUUAAUUGCAAGAUUGAACCCAACAUGGGGGGACUGUCAUGACGUUGGCCUGGGGCCUUGACGACAAUAUGACCUCCUGUUCCGAAGAUGUGAGGACGACGGUCUGAUGUCAGAAUGGUUCAGAUAAUACCUACAGAACGAAGCCAAUAUCAGCGUGAGCUUUGGUUGCGAAUGGUAUGAACUUUGAACUCUUAUUCACUACAGAAGUGAUACCUCCUAGCCGUUGAGUUAGCAACAGCAGAUGCAAACGAGGCUUAGGGAGGAACAGACAGAGUAUCCCAUCUAUCACACAACGACGUUACUACAACGUAUCCAAUUGACCACCAGAGACAUUCUUCAAAGGACUCGGUUGGGCAACACGGCCUUCCAUCUACCACCAACCUACCGAAGCGCAGCUCAGAGUAAAUAUUUAUUGCAUUUUCCUUUCCAAAUGGGUGGUAAUUUAGAAUGCAUAAGAUAAUGUAUUUACGAUAGCACAGCUUCUUCCCUUUGUUCCUCAGUCUUCCCGCUCUUUCACUCAAACCCAGCCCCUUUUCUUUUGUGUAACAAGCUGUCAUCUCUGUUCCGCCCGCUAGGGACGUUUUCCAUUAUGGCGUAAUUUGUAAUCAAGUUAUGAUUUAAUUAUGUGUAUGUGUAAUUCUGUGUGAUUAGUUAGGUAUUUAGUAAAUAAAUGAUUAA
This is a long non-coding RNA of Oncorhynchus masou masou (cherry salmon), 903 nucleotides long. RefSeq lists it as uncharacterized. The record is from RefSeq and is a predicted model, not a curated record. Lineage: Eukaryota; Metazoa; Chordata; Actinopteri; Salmoniformes; Salmonidae. The transcript has 3 exons.